Scleropages formosus (Asian bonytongue) is the source of this 253-nucleotide long non-coding RNA. RefSeq lists it as uncharacterized. The transcript is spliced from 3 exons. The record is from RefSeq and is a predicted model, not a curated record. NCBI's taxonomy places the organism in Eukaryota, Metazoa, Chordata, Actinopteri, Osteoglossiformes, Osteoglossidae.
AUUGAGGUGGAGCAACAAGUUACUGUAGUUACUUUGUUUCGUCCUCAAUGUGUUACAUUCCGAGUGCGAGCGGAUCGUGGACUUUGUACAGUUAACAGUGUCGUUUGAGGAGGUUAUUGGAGCGGAAGAAGUGAGAAGAAUACAGUACUGAGUGAUAGGCUCCGGGCCACUGUGACCCUGACUUGGAGAAGCGGAUUCUGGUCGAGCGAGAACAAGAACUGCAGGACUGUACCUCGGAACGGCAUGGUGGUGG